Molecule: ribosomal RNA, 497 nt
Filed under: uncultured bacterium
Lineage: Bacteria
Description: partial 16S ribosomal RNA
Rfam family: Bacterial small subunit ribosomal RNA
Source: RNAcentral
GAUGAACGCUGGCGGCGUGCCUAAUACAUGCAAGUCGAGCGAACAGACGAGGAGCUUGCUCCUCUGACGUUAGCGGCGGACGGGUGAGUAACACGUGGAUAACCUACCUAUAAGACUGGGAUAACUUCGGGAAACCGGAGCUAAUACCGGAUAAUAUAUUGAACCGCAUGGUUCAAUAGUGAAAGACGGUUUUGCUGUCACUUAUAGAUGGAUCCGCGCCGCAUUAGCUAGUUGGUAAGGUAACGGCUUACCAAGGCAACGAUGCGUAGCCGACCUGAGAGGGUGAUCGGCGACACUGGAACGGAGACACGGUCCAGACUCCUACGGGAGGCAGCAGUAGGGAAUCUUCCGCAAUGGGCGAAAGCCUGACGGAGCAACGCCGCGUGAGUGAUGAAGGUCUUCGGAUCGUAAAACUCUGUUAUUAGGGAAGAACAAAUGUGUAAGUAACUAUGCACGUCUUGACGGUACCUAAUCAGAAAGCCACGGCUAACUACGUG